UACGUAGGGGGCAAGCGUUGUCCGGAAUCAUUGGGCGUAAAGCGCACGUAGGCGGCUCGGUAAGUCCGUUGUGAAAGUCAGAGGCUCAACCUCUGGAGGCCAAUGGAUACUGCCGGGCUAGAGUCCGGAAGAGGCGAGUGGAAUUCCUGGUGUAGCGGUGGAAUGCGCAGAUAUCAGGGGGAACACCGGUGGCGAAGGCGGAUCUCUGGGCCUUACCUGACGCUGAGGCGCGAAAGCUAGGGGAGCGAACAGG
This 253-nucleotide ribosomal RNA is filed under the name uncultured bacterium. RNAcentral describes it as "partial 16S ribosomal RNA". It matches the Rfam family "Bacterial small subunit ribosomal RNA", at positions 524 to 776 of the family's 1533-position model. The record is from RNAcentral.